Molecule: long non-coding RNA, 1322 nt
Organism: Olea europaea var. sylvestris
Lineage: Eukaryota; Viridiplantae; Streptophyta; Magnoliopsida; Lamiales; Oleaceae
Exons: 3
Source: RefSeq, a predicted model, not a curated record
AAUCCUAUUUCAAGGUUGUAACCUACUGUCGUCGAGUCGCUGAGCCUCCGCCUUUUGCCACUGCCUGGAGUGAUCCUCUCUUAUUCUUAUUCUUCUUCUUCUUCUUCUUUUUAGUUCAUUUUUUUAUGCCAUUGGAGAAUGAUUUGUGACCUGCUAUAGGUUUGAUUUACUUUGGAUUGAAGGAUCUCAAAGGCUCAUCCUCAUCUCCUAUCCUCGUCUUUUGUUUUCUGCUCAAUACUAUCUUUAAAUCUAGCUUCAACAUAAGUGGUCACAAAGUUAAGAAUAAGGAAUCAAUGUCAUGGUCGGACGAGAAUGAACACUCUUUUAUCGAAAUUCUUUACGAGCAAGUGAAAUCAAAUGCAUUGCAAUGUUCUGUAUUCACAAAAGACAAAUGGGGCAAGAGCAAUGAAAUCAUGAUAGCUUCGACAAAAAUGGAUUACGGCAUAGAUAGAUCAAAGGGAAAGUGGAACUGUUUAGGUAAGAUUCAUUGCAUAUUCUCUGAACUUUUGGGACAUACAGGUGUUACAUGGGAUCUAAAUACCAACAAAGUUAAUGCUGCAGAGGAAGUCUAGCAACACUUUUAUACAGUACAUAUAUUUAUUAAAGAAUAUUUUCGUCAUUAGUUUUUAUCUUAUCAAUUUUACAAUUUUUUGUUGAACAAUAUGAUAAGGUGGCUUCUUUUUUCAAUGGUAGAUAAACAAAUCGGAUUACAAGAUGUUCAAAAGGAAAGGAUAUAAGCACUACCACACUCUUUGGAAGAUAUUUAGCAAGACCACAGCUACUGGAGGAUUAGGCAAUGCCUCCACUCAACUUCCAAACACAUCAGAGAAAGAAAGACAAUUAGAAGAUAAUUUUUUGAACAGGGGGUACAUGUACGUUCGGAAAAUGAUGAUGAAUUUGAUGAGGUUUUAAAUACUCGUUGACGUGAUGAAAUUGGUACAUUGGAUGAACAUCGACGGAGGAAACCUAAGAUCAGUAAAUGAGGUUUAUAUGAAAGCAAUAAAGACUUUUAAGGAUCCCGAUUUUAGGGUGCCAUUUGUGAAUAUGCCAGAAGCAAGAAAAAGACCUAUCUUGGAACUAUUUUGACGUGACUGUUGUUUUCAUUUCUCUAGUGUUGUGUUGUUUUAAUUUGUGAUGUUGAAGGUUGAAGUACUGUGUUAUUUUCACAGCUUGAGGUACUUUUUUCUUUUCGUGGUGAUGCUAUACUGUUUUCAUUUACGAAUUUAGUGAUGUUGUUGGUUGGAGAACUGACGUUAAUUUUUCUUUAGUCCUUGAAUGCUCGUUUUAUUUGAAAGAAUGAUGAUUGAUAUGACUUAUGAUAA